GAAGGGAAUGAGCGGCGGACGGGUGAGUAACACGUAAGGAACCUGCCCCAAGGAUUGGGAUAACUCCGAGAAAUCGGAGCUAAUACCGAAUAGUUCUUCAGGCCGCAUGGUCUGAUGAUGAAAGGCGCUCCGGCGUCACCUUGGGAUGGCCUUGCGGUGCAUUAGCUAGUUGGUGGGGUAAUGGCCCACCAAGGCGACGAUGCAUAGCCGACCUGAGAGGGUGAUCGGCCACACUGGGACUGAGACACGGCCCAGACUCCUACGGGAGGCAGCAGUAGGGAAUCUUCCGCAAUGGACGAAAGUCUGACGGAGCAAUGCCGCGUGAGUGACGAAGGUUUUCGGAUCGUAAAACUCUGUUGUAAGGGAAGAACACGUGCCAUUUAACUGAUGGCAUUUUGACGGUACCUUACCAGAAAGCCCCGGCUAACUUCGUGCCAGCAGCCGCGGUAAUACGAAGGGGGCUAGCGUUGCUCGGAAUUACUGGGCGUAAAGGGAGCGUAGGCGGACAUUUAAGUCAGGGGUGAAAUCCCAGAGCUCA
This 538-nucleotide ribosomal RNA is filed under the name uncultured Exiguobacterium sp. RNAcentral describes it as "bacterial SSU rRNA". It matches the Rfam family "Bacterial small subunit ribosomal RNA", at positions 84 to 611 of the family's 1533-position model. The record is from RNAcentral. Lineage: Bacteria; Bacillati; Bacillota; Bacilli; Caryophanales.